This 824-nucleotide ribosomal RNA is filed under the name uncultured marine bacterium. Its description in RNAcentral is "bacterial SSU rRNA". It matches the Rfam family "Bacterial small subunit ribosomal RNA", at positions 57 to 877 of the family's 1533-position model. The record is from RNAcentral.
GCAAGUCGAACGGUAACAGAAAAAGCUUGCUUUUUGCUGACGAGUGGCGAACGGGUGCGUAACGCGUAUGCAACCUACCUUCUUCUAAGGAAUAGCCCAGAGAAAUUUGGAUUAAUACCUUAUGAUAAUAUUUAUUCGCAUGUUUAAAUAUUUAAAACUCCGGUGGAAGAAGAUGGGCAUGCGUAACAUUAGUUUGUUGGUGAGGUAAUGGCUCACCAAGACUACGAUGUAUAGGGGGUCCGAGAGGAUGAUCCCCCACACUGGUACUGAGACACGGACCAGACUCCUACGGGAGGCAGCAGUGAGGAAUAUUGGUCAAUGGACGAAAGCCUGAACCAGCCAUGCCGCGUGAAGGAUGACGGCCCUACGGGUUGUAAACUUCUUUUGUAUAGGAAGAAACCCCUCUACGUGUAGAGGGCUGACGGUACUAUUCGAAUAAGCACCGGCUAACUCCGUGCCAGCAGCCGCGGUAAUACGGAGGGUGCGAGCGUUAUCCGGAAUUAUUGGGUUUAAAGGGUGCGUAGGCGGAAAUUUAAGUCAGUGGUGAAAGCCUGCAGCUUAACUGUAGAAUUGCCAUUGAUACUGGAUUUCUUGAAUCUAAUAGAAGUAGGCGGAAUAUGACAUGUAGCGGUGAAAUGCUUAGAUAUGUCAUAGAACACCGAUAGCGAAGGCAGCUUACUAUGUUAGUAUUGACGCUAAUGCACGAAAGCGUGGGGAGCGAACAGGAUUAGAUACCCUGGUAGUCCACGCCGUAAACGAUGAUUACUCGCUAUUGGCGAUACACUGUCAGUGGCUAAGCGAAAGUGAUAAGUAAUCCACCUGGG